This is a long non-coding RNA of Dendronephthya gigantea, 729 nucleotides long. RefSeq lists it as uncharacterized. The record is from RefSeq and is a predicted model, not a curated record. The transcript has 3 exons. NCBI's taxonomy places the organism in Eukaryota, Metazoa, Cnidaria, Anthozoa, Malacalcyonacea, Nephtheidae.
AUCUACCACGGGAGAAAUCUUCUUUAUCGUAAUAUUGAUAGAACUAAUAGCGAAAGCCGAGGAUUGUUCACGAUCGCUGAGAUUAAGAGGAAACAUGAAGGAACGUAUUAUUGCGUUGUUCAAAAUGAAUACGGGUUCGGGCAUAAUAGAACGAUCAGCUUAACUGUGUAUGAUGGUCCUGAGAACUGUCCAAUGAAAAGAGAAAUACUUACCGAAAAGAGAAAUACGACCAGACGUAUUAAAACACAACGUGAAAAUCCAUCUCCUACAACCACUGAUCAUUCGUUGCAAACAAAAAUGAAAACACAAGAAAGGGAAGUUGGAGGUAUUCAUUCUGGGACACAGAUCGCAGUUCCUAGCUUGCUAUUGUUUGUGAUAGCCUUAUGGAGUAUCUUCUUAUGAAAGUGGAAAUGCUGGUGAAAUAAAAUUUCCUUGUGAGAAGAAGGCAUACCAGCUUCUGCAAGACAAUCAGUCGCCGUUGUUCUUUGGACAAACUUUAACAAGUAAUCAUGGCACACAUUCAUUCUCAGUGAAACUGAGACAUUAUGUGUUCUUAAGGCCUCAAUGUAAAUGGUCGUGUUAGCUUUUGGAUCGCUACAGAAAUUAAACAAGAAAUUUACUAAAGAAUUGAUAAUAUUGGGGAACUUCGUAUAUUUAUAGCGCUGUAAAAAAUAAAAUUAAUGCACUGUAAAGUAUAAAAUUAGUGAAAAACUAAAGAUAAUGUUCUAU